ACAACAAAUAGGAGUUUUUAUAGCAUUAGAUUAUAGCGUUCUUUUAGGAAUGCUGUUGUAGGGAUACAUUUAUAGCGUUCAUGAAGAGAAAAAGAAGGAAGUCCUCGCGCCCUAUCUAUAACAGCGUUCAUUAACUCAAAAAUAGCGUUCCACUAAAAAAUACAACGCCAUUCCUCCGCGCCCUAAUCCCAUACCCCUUUACAAAAAUUCCAGAUCGAGAAGGGGGGACAUCUCCUCUCUCUCUCUCUCUCUUUCUCUCCAUCAGAUCUUGGACCCCCAGCGACCAACAACGGCCAUGGGUAGCUUAGCUAGCAGCACAUUGACAUCUCCACCACUGCUAGCACCACCAAGUUGCGACGGCUGCUGGUGUUCCGGCCUCUAGACGCGUGUCUCUCGUAGUUUCCCCCACUAGCUAUUAUCCUCUCUCUCCCCUCCUUUGUAUACAUGUGUAUCAGUGUAUCACUGACCCUGCCCACAAGCUGUUCGACGGAAUCUCCCAACCAAAUUCUUUUGUUUUGCCAUCAGUGAUUCAUGGGUGCUUUGGAAACUUUGAAUACAAAGAAGAUGUAGAUGCUAGGUGUUUCUUUGCUCAAAUGCAAGAGAAGAGUUUGGUCGCUUGACCUACAAUGGUUGGAGGUUAUACUAAAAAGUGACAGGCGCGUUGUGGAUUGUAAUUGCUGAAGCAGAAAGAUUUCGUACCAAGCAGAAAGAUUUCGUACCACUUCUACUUCAUGAUGUUCUUUCUCAUCCUCAUGCAAUGGCAUGGAAGACUCAAGAGAUUUUGGCAUAGGAAACUGAAAUUUAUUGCACAAGAUAAUCCAGAUGCCUAGAAAACAAGCACGGGCAGUAGGCAUAGGCUCAUUCAUUUAAGGUUGACGACAGCCUUAUAGCGUAAAAAGAUUUUUUCCAAAGAUUAAGGUGGUCUGUCACAUGAUCUGAACAUGACAUUUUUAAGGUCUGAUUUGGGAUUCUCAAGCAGGUUCGCAAACAUAUCAGUAGGUGUUCAUGGCAUUCUUGAAGUUUCAAGCAGUUGAGUAAGAGCACUCCAAAGAAUCAAAAAGUAAGGUCUCUAUUCUACUUUUCGAGAUUUAAUACUUGUCUGGGAAAGUAGUUAAUUUACUAAGCGUUUUUACAUGGUCUUUGUCUAUUGAUGCUUUGACUCUAUGGUGAAAACAUCAAUGUUUAGCGUAUUAUGUAAGGCACCGUAAAAGUCUUAGCAUUGUAGUCCUGCCUUAGCGAUCAAUUAAGGAAAUGAAAUAUAGAAAGUUACCUUGUUGAUGCCAACUUUUUUGGUAUAUGUGUAGCAUUGACUAAGUUGAGCCCUCAUAAAUCACAUGUUGCAAUUAGAAGAAUGUUCCUGUGACUCCCUUGAAAUGGAUCCCUUAAAAAGACUGUUUUUUCCUCAUUAUAUGGCAUCAUAGUUAAACUUUCAUUGUCACAAAAAUCAAAGAGGAAAGGAAAAUAUUUGUCUAACAAUA
Long non-coding RNA from Rhododendron vialii, 1478 nucleotides. RefSeq lists it as uncharacterized. The transcript has 3 exons. The record is from RefSeq and is a predicted model, not a curated record. NCBI's taxonomy places the organism in Eukaryota, Viridiplantae, Streptophyta, Magnoliopsida, Ericales, Ericaceae.